UUACAGUUUCUAUAUUUAAUAGGUACAUUAAAGAUACGACAUUGAAGAUAUUCUGUUUUGAUUAAUAGAAGAUAUUGGAUUUUGAGUUUGUAUUUAUUGAUUUGUUUUUUUAUAAAGCUUAGAAAAUCAAUGGGAUGAUUGGUUGGUUGAUACAUCCUAUAAAGAAAACGAAAACUAUAGGUGGUUUGAAUAUUGUACAUCGAUCGAUGCAUGAUGUAAGUUGACUAUAUAAAACUUGAGCAUGAUCAUUUCAAACUAAAGUAUAGGUAGGUUAUAUGCAUUUG
RNAcentral lists this long non-coding RNA (284 nucleotides) under Brassica napus (rape). Its description in RNAcentral is "long non-coding RNA (BNAP_LNC020406)". Lineage: Eukaryota; Viridiplantae; Streptophyta; Magnoliopsida; Brassicales; Brassicaceae. The record is from RNAcentral.